Molecule: long non-coding RNA, 1173 nt
Organism: Sinocyclocheilus grahami
Lineage: Eukaryota; Metazoa; Chordata; Actinopteri; Cypriniformes; Cyprinidae
Exons: 2
Source: RefSeq, a predicted model, not a curated record
GGAUCUCCAUGACCAUAUUCUGGAAGAUCGAUGUGUCCAUGGAAGGAGUGGUAAAGCCAUCGCUUGAGCUCCUGCUGAAAAUGCCAGACCAGGCUCGGGAGUUUGACACCAAAAAAGUGAUGGAAAACGGCUCGAAUUACUUUCAGAGCCUCCUGCAGAUUCUCGGGGUGGAAGCAUCAAUCGAGGGCUUGAUAAGAACUGUAUGUUUGUAAGAAGUCAUAAAACAAGCCAACGUUCACGGCAUGGGAACUUCAUAUCUAAUCUUUUUAUUCGAUAUAAACACCUGUACAAUCACCCGUUAGGAACUACAUAGUGAUGCCACCUGUACAUGUCAAUCAUUUUUACGCAUGAUAUGCCCACACUGUAUGGAAAUAUACAUUAUUAGAAAAGAGCUAGAAAAAUAAAUAGUUUUAAAUACAAAAUGUUUGACAGCAAAAUCCACUUUGUAUUUUCAAAUAGUUACAUUUUAACAUUAGAUUCCAUCACAGUAACUGUGAUCUUCCUUUCUUUUCUUGCUUAAUAACAGAAUUAAUGUCCAUUCCUACCUACAUAGUGAUUAUAAAUCUUUAUUUCAUUAGAAUAACACAGUGUCACCACCUAAGACUCAUAAUAUCUCUGGCUCGUCUGGUUCAACAGGGGAAAGAUGUUGUUAAAACAAAGGCAAAUACAGUAAUGAAACUGCACAUUUCAAUCAGUUACAUCAUAACACAUCAAAACAUGACCGUCCAACAAAUGCCAUCGGUUGGACAACGAAGGCGUUUUCAAUCACAGGUAAGGCGUAUUAAUACUUCUCUUGACACCAGUUCACAUUAAGACAAAGGGGAGUGUGAACAGUUUGGCAAUGUUGAAUGUUCAUCCAUGUAAAACUCAAAACACUAUUCGCCUGAUGAGAACUGCAUAGACGACUUUGAGAAAGGCAAGCCGAUGCAGUUUGCAUCACGCUAAAGGAGGUAAACAAGAGCAUGAGCAUCUCUCAUGCCACAGUGUAUUGUAACAGUAAUAUUCCCCAUGACAGAGAAAGGCGACCGUGAGGUGCCAUCUUUAGUGUUAAAGUUGCACCAUAAUAUCUGUGCGAACCGUCUCACUGUGGUUGUUUUUUUGGGUCAAAGGCGCCAAACUUGCAACUUGUGUUAAAUCAACACUACCAUUUCUGUGGCCUAUACUGCUUCUCUG